Long non-coding RNA from Hydra vulgaris (swiftwater hydra), 1594 nucleotides. RefSeq lists it as uncharacterized. NCBI's taxonomy places the organism in Eukaryota, Metazoa, Cnidaria, Hydrozoa, Anthoathecata, Hydridae. The record is from RefSeq and is a predicted model, not a curated record.
UUAAUUUUUUUACAAAAACAAAUAAGAGUUCAAAAUAAAAAUUUUAAUUUAUGAAAAGAGAAGAAGUAGGAAAAGUAUUUUUAAUUCAACAUUUGCAGAGUAUAUUAGGAGAAGAAGUGUUGACAAUUUAUUUUGAAAUAGAUAGUAUUACGAAAAGAAGUAAUAAGAGUAAUAAAAUUCUUUUAUUCAACAUUACGAAUUGAAUUAUGAGAAGAAGUGGUUGUAAUUAAUUUAAAACAUAUUGCAUCACGAGAAGAAUAUGAAAAAUAUUGCUAUACUUAAGUAUCAAGAUUAAAAUACUGAUGUACCGUUAAACUGAAGGUGGUAAUAAAGUUUACAAAAUUUGCUCUUGCUGAAUUUUUCAAUGAAAAAACAAUAUGUGUGCCAUAAAUGUAAUCUGUGUUUAAUGGGGUAUCUAUGAAAGUUUGGUGUAUUGGCCAAAUCACUUGCAAGCAUCUUGCUAUUAAACUGCCAUAUGUAAAGUCACGCUUUUAAAAGUAACUGAAAGCAGCUGAAAAUAAGAAUUUUUUGGUAAUUGUCUUAUUUACAAUAUUGUUUUUGUUUUAUUUACAGUAUUGUCUUUGUUUUUUAUCUAAACAGCUAUGUUUGACUCAAAUAUAGUAAAUGUUGAUUGUUUAUUAUGGUUUCAUCUCUUCUUUAUACUUUUUUUUUGACAGUUAUGAGACUGCUUUAGAACAGAAUUAUCUGUGCCUCCAGCUUAAAAGGAUGCAGGUUACAAAAAAAGUGACACUAAUGAGAUUGCCUCUCAGUUUCUCAAAGAUUGAAGAAAUCUUUAGUGUUUUAGGGUUAAGUGAUUCCAUCAGAGCUUUGCUUGACUAUCUCUUUCGAUUUAUUGAAUUUAUUUGCCGAUUAUAGAUGAAAAAAGAUCUUCUAAACCUAGAAGAAAAAUUAUGGAACAAAGACACCUUAUGAAUCAAUAGUAUAUAUCAGUGAAUUGAUAUUAGUUAAUAAUUUUUGGAAACAGUACCAUGAACUAUUAAAGUUUCAUAAUUUUUAAAAUAUAUGAUACAUUUAUAUGAAACAUACAAACAAAUGAUCCAAUAUGAUACUUGAUUGACUAUAAUUAUGUUGUAUAUCAGAAUGUUUUAUAUAAAUGCUUAUUACAUUUUAUUGUGAUUUUUAUCUUUUAUGCCCAGUUAGCGUUGUAUUUUGUGUAGCAAUGACUACUAAUCUCAGAUAUCUAUGACAUCUGUAGGAUGUAUUCACCGCUACAGAUGUCAUAAUCUAUUUAUAAGCAAUUGCUUUUACUCUUCCAUAAUGUCAUAUUUUAAUAAGAAUCACAUUAUGGAAAACCGUCUAAUACAUACACAUGAGGAACCAUUAUACUUUUAGUACAAUCAAUUAUAUUACAUUUGUUUUCUUAUUUUAGAUGAACUUUCUUACUUAGGUUGGAGGAGAUAAGAAACAACUUACAGCGGCAAUCUUAAUACAGCUAAUGGCCAAAGAAAUAUGUUUUUCAUACUCAGUGUAUGGAAUGAAACAAAAACGUCCUGCAAGGUCGUUAUAGAGUUGCGUUUAGUCGUUUAUCGUUGUAUUCGUUCAUUUCGAAAUCGUUACUGACAAAAGUAUUAAA